GCCACACUGAUACAAUAUAGUUUAAUUUCCAGCCAAGAUCAGAGUUAACCGAGACAUAUAUGGUGGAUAAAAAGCUCUUAAAAAUAUGGGUGUUCCGAGGAAAGUAUACCACUAGGGAAUGUGGGUUACAUUAGUAAUGGAGGAAUAUUUUGAGAGCAAACGAAACUAAAGUGUUGCCACGGUGACGGUGGUGGUGGGCAUGACACAGAUGCGGGAGGUGGAGUUUGUGCCCGAUGGAGACAUGCAGGUGGACAAAUUGUGUUGGUCAUUGGUCAGACUGGAGUUUACAUGUGUACCUCCUUCACCAUCAUUGGUGGACACUUCACCUUGAGUGAUGCUUGAGCUGUCAUGGUGUUGCUGGUGCUGUGUGCCAUCAUCACCCUGACACAGACCACCCUGCAGACACCUUCAUCCUGGGUGCCACACGUCGCUGCUGCUACAACUCAGAGCAACAAGAGCGCAAGCCAGGAAGGGAGAUGUGUGCAGGUUUGCAGUAAACCUCCCUGAAGGUUCCAGAGCUGCUCAGCAAGUGUCCAGUCCAGGCUGUCACAAGACUGUGUGACAGUGGACCUUCCACUCAUACUGAAAACAGCUGUGCACUGCCACUCACAGGAAGUGGUGACCACUCUAGAUUGAGUUGCCUUGAAGCUGAGAUGAGUUGGUCAGCUAGUGAGUGGCUUCAAUCAAGUGACUGUGAGGUGUUGCCUUCAAUCAAGUGACUGUGAGGUGUUGCCUUCGAUCAAGUGACUGUGAGGUGUUGCCUUCAAUCAAGUGACUGUGAGGUGUUGGCUUCAAUCAAGUGACUGUGAGGUGUUGGCUUCGAUCAAGUGACUGUGAGGUGUUGGCUUCGAUCAAGUGACUGUGAGGUGUUGGGCAUGGUAUUGUGUUAUUGCAAGUGUAACCAUUAAUAAGUAAGUUCUUUCCUUAUAACUCUUCAUACAUGGAUUGCCAUACAUGGACGGAUAAGGCCCUUGUACAGAGUCAUCAGCUGGGGGUGAGAAAAACUGGUGGAGAUGUCUCAGAACGCCUAACUUCACAGAAGCUGUUUUAGCUAGAGAUGAAAUGUGAAGUUUCUAGUUUAGAUCAUAAGUAAAGGACAGACCAAGGAUGUUCAGUGUAGAAGAGGGGGACAGUUGAGUGUCAUUGAAGAAGAGGGGAUAGUUUGGAAGACUGUGUUGAGUUGAUAGAUGGAGGAAUUGAGUUUUUGAUGCACUGAACAAUACCAAGUUUGCUCUGCCCCAAUCAGAAAUUUUAGAGAGAUGAGAAGUGAGGUGUUCUGUGGCUUCCCUGUGUGAACUGUUUACUUCCUGAAGGGUUGGAUGUCUAUGAAAAGACAUGGAAAAGUGCAGGGUGAUGUCAUCAGCGUAGGAGUGGAUAGGACAAGAAGUAUGGGUUAGAAGAUCAUUAAUGAAUAAUAAGAGAGUGGGUGACAGGACAGAACCCUGAGGAACACCACUGUUAAUAGAUUUAGCAGAAGAACAGUGACCGUCUACCACAGCAGCAAUAGAAUGGUCAGAAAGGAAACUUGAGAUGAAGUUACAGAGAGAAGGAUAGAAACUGUAGGAGGGUAGUUUGGAAAUGAAAGCUUUGUGCCAGACUCUAUCAAAGGCUUUUGAUAUGUCCAAGGCAACAGCAAAAGUUUCACCAAAAUCUCUAAAAGAGGAUGACCAAGACUCAGUAAGGAAAGCCAGAAGAUCACCAGUAGAGCGGCCUUGACGGAACCCAUACUGGCGAUCAGAUACAAGGUUGUCAAGUGAUAGAUGUUUAAGAAUCUUCCUGUUGAGGAUAGAUUCAAAAACUUUAGAUAGGCAGGAAAUUAAAGCAAUAGGACUGUUGUUUGAGGGAUUAAAACUACUACUACUACUACUACUACUACUACUACUACUACUACUACUGCUACUACUACUACUACUACUACUACUACUACUACUACUACUACUACUACUCUCAUCUUGCCUGACUUCCAGACCAACAUUUACUGUGUAGAAAUGGCACAGUCUACUCCUUUAGUUCUUUUCCUUUCUAGAAUGUGCAUAUCAGUGUACCCUGUCGUGCCUCCCAUGCUGUGUAAUGCUGCAGUGUUGAUUGUGUGUGUGUGUUUCCCUCAGGUGGCACUGUGGAUAGCAAGCGGAAGAGGCCUUGGGAGACUUCCGUAAAUGAGGAGCAACAAGCACACCUCACUGGAGUCUUUCAGGAACCAACAGUCAGGGCUGAUGUGAAGGUGUCUGCAGCCAGUGUUUGGUCUCCUCUGUGCCUGGUGGUGGUGCCUCAUUGCAGGGCCUGAUGUGAAGGUGUCUGCAGCCAGUGGUGGUGCCUCAUUGCAGGGCUGAUGUGAAGGUGUCUGCAGCCAGUGGUGGGUGUCCUCUGUGCCUGGUGGUGCCUCAUUGCAGGGCCUGAUGUGAAGGUGUCUGCAGCCAGUGGUGGUGCCUCAUUGCAGGGCUGAUGUGAAGGUGUCUGCAGCCAGUGGUGGUGCCUCAUUGCAGGGCCUGACGUGAAUGUGUCUGCAGCCAAUGUUUGGUCUCCUCUGUGCCUGGUGGUGCCUCAUUGCAGGGCUGAUGUGAAGGUGUCUGCAGCCAGUGUUUGGUGUCCUCUCUUCCUGGUGGUGCAGCCUGAUGUGUUGCCUGCUUCAGUGUAAAUCUUGCAAGCCAGAUCUGCCAGGUGUCUCCAGUGUAGUAGUCUAGGGUGCUUUGCUUUGUGUCUUUGGCAAUAAAUAAAUUUGUGAGUAUCAUUCUCAUGUGAAUUAUAUAGUUUGAUAAAAUUACAGAAUGUGCUUGGGUAAACUAAAUUUAUAUAUUGGUGGUAAACAAUUCAUGCAUCCCCAAGUAAAUAAGUAAAAUAAAUAGGACCCAAAACAAUAGAUGCAAUAUAGAUCAUCCUCUGGUCAAAAAAAAAAAAAAGCCAGGAUUGGCCCUUUUUUGGCUAAGUUUAAGGCGAAACUUGCACACAGAAGCCUUGUCCGAGCGACACCGGAGUCGCUCGGACAGGGCUUCUGUGUGCAAGUUUCACCUUAAACUUAAACCAUUUUUGGCUUUGACCAAAAAUGGGCCAAUCCUGGCUUUUUUUUUUUUGACCAGAGGAUGAUCAAUUGUUACUAGUAUUUUUUGCUUCCAUUUUUUUUUUUUUUUUAUCAGGGCUAUGAACUGGUUACAUCAGAAAGCAGCUUAUUUGCAAUUUGUAAAAAGAUUUUAGUAUAUAAUUCCACAAGUAUGAACAAGAUGAUUAAAUAUAUUUGUUUAAAUCACAUUGCCAAAGUUUGUGAGGAGGCAUGAACUGUUACACCAGAAAGCUUGUUUAUUUGCAACUUGUUAGUAUAAUUCCCUAAGUAUGUACAAGAUAAUAUAUAUAUUGUUUAAUAAAUCAUUAUUGUUUAAUCAUUCCCUAAGUAUGUACAAGAUAAUAAUAUAUAUAUAUUGUUUAAUCACAAAAGUUUAAUAAAUACACAAUAGGAUAAA
Molecule: long non-coding RNA, 3452 nt
Organism: Scylla paramamosain (green mud crab)
Lineage: Eukaryota; Metazoa; Arthropoda; Malacostraca; Decapoda; Portunidae
Exons: 6
Source: RefSeq, a predicted model, not a curated record